AGAGUUUGAUCAUGGCUCAGAUUGAACGCUGGCGGCAGGCUUAACACAUGCAAGUCGAACGGUAACAGGGAGAAGCUUGCUUCUUCGCUGACGAGUGGCGGACGGGUGAGUAAUGCUUGGGAAUCUGGCUUAUGGAGGGGGAUAACUACGGGAAACUGUAGCUAAUACCGCGUAAUAUCUUUGGAUUAAAGGGUGGGACUUUCGGGCCACCUGCCAUAAGAUGAGCCCAAGUGGGAUUAGGUAGUUGGUGGGGUAAAGGCCUACCAAGCCGACGAUCUCUAGCUGGUCUGAGAGGAUGACCAGCCACACUGGAACUGAGACACGGUCCAGACUCCUACGGGAGGCAGCAGUGGGGAAUAUUGCACAAUGGGGGGAACCCUGAUGCAGCCAUGCCGCGUGAAUGAAGAAGGCCUUCGGGUUGUAAAGUUCUUUCGGUGAUGAGGAAGGUGUUUGUUUUAAUAGAACAAGCAAUUGACGUUAGUCACAGAAGAAGCACCGGCUAACUCCGUGCCAGCAGCCGCGGUAAUACGGAGGGUGCGAGCGUUAAUCGGAAUGACUGGGCGUAAAGGGCACGCAGGCGGUGACUUAAGUGAGAUGUGAAAGCCCCGGGCUUAACCUGGGAAUUGCAUUUCAUACUGGGUCGCUAGAGUAUUUUAGGGAGGGGUAGAAUUCCACGUGUAGCGGUGAAAUGCGUAGAGAUGUGGAGGAAUACCGAAGGCGAAGGCAGCCCCUUGGGAAUAUACUGACGCUCAUGUGCGAAAGCGUGGGGAGCAAACAGGAUUAGAUACCCUGGUAGUCCACGCUGUAAACGCUGUCGAUUUGGGGAUUGGGCUUAGAGCUUGGUGCCCGUAGCU
RNAcentral lists this ribosomal RNA (854 nucleotides) under uncultured bacterium. RNAcentral's name for it is "bacterial SSU rRNA". It matches the Rfam family "Bacterial small subunit ribosomal RNA", at positions 8 to 853 of the family's 1533-position model. The record is from RNAcentral.